This 396-nucleotide ribosomal RNA is filed under the name uncultured bacterium. RNAcentral's name for it is "bacterial SSU rRNA". It matches the Rfam family "Bacterial small subunit ribosomal RNA", at positions 362 to 775 of the family's 1533-position model. The record is from RNAcentral.
UAUUGCACAAUGGGGGAAACCCUGAUGCAGCGACGCCGCGUGAGUGAGGAAGUAUUUCGGUGUGUAAAGCCCUAUCAGCAGGGAAGAAAAUGACGGUAGCUGACUAAGAAGCCCCGGCUAACUACGUGCCAGCAGCCGCGGUAAUAAGUAGGGGGCAAGCGUUAUCCGGAUUUACAGGGUGUAAAGGGAGCGUAGACGGAAUUGCAAGUCUGAUGUGAAAAUCCGGGGCCCAACCCCGGAACUGCAUUGGAAACUGUAUUUCUAGAGUGUCGGAGAGGCAAGUGGAAUUCCUGGUGUAGCGGUGAAAUGCGUAGAUAUCAGGAGGAACACCAGUGGCGAAGGCGGCUUGCUGGACGACGACUGACGUUGAGGCUCGAAAGCGUGGGGAGCAAACAG